GAUGAACGCUAGCUACAGGCUUAACACAUGCAAGUCGAGGGGCAGCAUUUUAGUUUGCUUGCAAACUAAAGAUGGCGACCGGCGCACGGGUGAGUAACACGUAUCCAACCUGCCGAUAACUCGGGGAUAGCCUUUCGAAAGAAAGAUUAAUAUCCGAUAGUAUAUUAAAACCGCAUGGUUUUACUAUUAAAGAAUUUCGGUUAUCGAUGGGGAUGCGUUCCAUUAGUUUGUUGGCGGGGUAACGGCCCACCAAGACUACGAUGGAUAGGGGUUCUGAGAGGAAGGUCCCCCACAUUGGAACUGAGACACGGUCCAAACUCCUACGGGAGGCAGCAGUGAGGAAUAUUGGUCAAUGGACGAGAGUCUGAACCAGCCAAGUAGCGUGAAGGAUGACUGCCCUAUGGGUUGUAAACUUCUUUUAUAUGGGAAUAAAGUAUUCCACGUGUGGGAUUUUGUAUGUACCAUAUGAAUAAGGAUCGGCUAACUCCGUGCCAGCAGCCGCGGUAAUACGGAGGAUCCGAGCGUUAUCCGGAUUUAUUGGGUUUAAAGGGAGCGUAGGUGGAUUGUUAAGUCAGUUGUGAAAGUUUGCGGCUCAACCGUAAAAUUGCAGUUGAAACUGGCAGUCUUGAGUACAGUAGAGGUGGGCGGAAUUCGUGGUGUAGCGGUGAAAUGCUUAGAUAUCACGAAGAACUCCGAUUGCGAAGGCAGCUCACUAGACUGCAACUGACACUGAUGCUCGAAAGUGUGGGUAUCAAACAGGAUUAGAUACCCUGGUAGUCCACACAGUAAACGAUGAAUACUCGCUGUUUGCGAUAUACAGUAAGCGGCCAAGCGAAAGCAUUAAGUAUUCCACCUGGGGAGUACGCCGGCAACGGUGAAACUCAAAGGAAUUGACGGGGGCCCGCACAAGCGGAGGAACAUGUGGUUUAAUUCGAUGAUACGCGAGGAACCUUACCCGGGCUUAAAUUGCAUUUGAAUAAUCUGGAAACAGGUUAGCCGCAAGGCAAAUGUGAAGGUGCUGCAUGGUUGUCGUCAGCUCGUGCCGUGAGGUGUCGGCUUAAGUGCCAUAACGAGCGCAACCCUUAUCUUUAGUUACUAACAGGUCAUGCUGAGGACUCUAGAGAGACUGCCGUCGUAAGAUGUGAGGAAGGUGGGGAUGACGUCAAAUCAGCACGGCCCUUACGUCCGGGGCUACACACGUGUUACAAUGGGGGGUACAGAAGGCAGCUACCUGGCGACAGGAUGCUAAUCCCAAAAACCUCUCUCAGUUCGGAUCGAAGUCUGCAACCCGACUUCGUGAAGCUGGAUUCGCUAGUAAUCGCGCAUCAGCCAUGGCGCGGUGAAUACGUUCCCGGGCCUUGUACACACCGCCCGUCAAGCCAUGAAAGCCGGGGGUACCUGAAGUACGUAACCGCAAGGAGCGUCCUAGGGUAAAACUGGUAAUUGGG
RNAcentral lists this ribosomal RNA (1448 nucleotides) under uncultured organism. Its description in RNAcentral is "SSU rRNA". It matches the Rfam family "Bacterial small subunit ribosomal RNA". The record is from RNAcentral.